GCAGUCUGAAACUCGAGUGCAUGAAGCUGGAAUCGCUAGUAAUCGCAAAUCAGAAUGUUGCGGUGAAUACGUUCCCGGGUCUUGUACACACCGCCCGUCACACCAUGGGAGUUGGAAAUGCCCGAAGUCAGUGACCCAACCUAAGGGGAGGGGAGCUGCCGAAGGCAGGUUCGAUGACUGGGGGUGAAGUCGUAACAAGGUAGC
RNAcentral lists this ribosomal RNA (204 nucleotides) under uncultured bacterium. Its description in RNAcentral is "partial 16S ribosomal RNA". It matches the Rfam family "Bacterial small subunit ribosomal RNA", at positions 1300 to 1500 of the family's 1533-position model. The record is from RNAcentral.